GGUAGUAUGGCCGAGUGGUCUAAGGCGCUGGAUUUAGGCUUCAGGCUCUCUGGAGAUGUGGGUUUGAAUCCCUCCUCUGCCA
Molecule: transfer RNA, 82 nt
Filed under: Salmo salar (Atlantic salmon)
Lineage: Eukaryota; Metazoa; Chordata; Actinopteri; Salmoniformes; Salmonidae
Rfam family: tRNA
About the family: Transfer RNA (tRNA) molecules are approximately 80 nucleotides in length. Their secondary structure includes four short double-helical elements and three loops (D, anti-codon, and T loops). Further hydrogen bonds mediate the characteristic L-shaped molecular structure. tRNAs have two regions of fundamental functional importance: the anti-codon, which is responsible for specific mRNA codon recognition, and the 3' end, to which the tRNAs corresponding amino acid is attached (by aminoacyl-tRNA synthetases). tRNAs cope with the degeneracy of the genetic code in two manners: having more than one tRNA (with a specific anti-codon) for a particular amino acid; and 'wobble' base-pairing, i.e. permitting non-standard base-pairing at the 3rd anti-codon position.
Source: Rfam by way of RNAcentral